GCACUUCUGAAAAUGCACUUCCGAAUGCAUCUCUGUCCCCAGCACAUUUCAAACCAAACUGACGCCCGUGCGUCUCUCUGUCUCCUCAACAGGAACAUUUGUAGUGAAUGUGACCCAGACCUCCUAUCAGGCAGAGGAGAACCACGACAUCACACUGGAGUGGACCUUCACAACCAACCCUCACAGUUCCUCCAACUCUCUUUAUAUCUACUGUGUACUGUUAAAUAAUCUCAGGCCCUCAGUCCUGUUUUAUCUCCAUGAAGGAGUUGAGGCUCCAGAGUUUCAGGAUGAACAGUUUGCAGGACGAGUCCAGUGGGACAAAGACGUCCUCAGAGAAGGACGACUCAGACUUCAUGUGUCCAGACUCAGGACUGAAGACUCGGGCCAGUAUGAGUGUAAAGUGCACACAAGUAAUGAGAGUAGCUCUGGUAAAUGUUGGCUCCAUGUCACUGCAGCGAGGGAUCGGCCUGAACCUGAGACACCAAACACAACAAGUCCACAACAACCAGAGAGUUGGGAUAUGUCCCUAUUCUGCAAUUUAAUAAUCAUACUUGUAAUGUCUGUACUCUGUCUGUUUCUCUCCUGGUGGUUUUUGUUUCUAGUUGUUACAUAAGAUUAAAAAAAAAGUUCAGCAGGUGAAUCAGUGGAUACAGUUAACAACUGUAAUGAGAUAAAACUGUUAGAGUUCAUGUUUAUAGCAAAGAAACCCCCCCCACAAACUGUAAAAGUUGAUAAAAACACAUCUUUCCAUUCUUUUGUUCAUUAUUCUGUCAAACUGUCAUUUAUUAGACAGAUCUGAAAUGUGCA
Long non-coding RNA from Sander lucioperca (pikeperch), 807 nucleotides. The record is from Ensembl. Lineage: Eukaryota; Metazoa; Chordata; Actinopteri; Perciformes; Percidae.